CCUACGGGGGGCAGCAGUGAGGAAUAUUGGACAAUGGGCGCAAGCCUGAUCCAGCCAUGCCGCGUGCAGGAUGACGGUCCUAUGGAUUGUAAACUGCUUUUGCACAGGAAGAAACACCCCCUCGUGAGGGGGCUUGACGGUACUGUGAGAAUAAGGAUCGGCUAACUCCGUGCCAGCAGCCGCGGUAAUACGGAGGAUCCAAGCGUUAUCCGGAAUCAUUGGGUUUAAAGGGUCCGUAGGCGGUUUAGUAAGUCAGUGGUGAAAGCCCAUCGCUCAACGGUGGAACGGCCAUUGAUACUGCUAGACUUGAAUUAUUAGGAAGUAACUAGAAUAUGUAGUGUAGCGGUGAAAUGCUUAGAGAUUACAUGGAAUACCAAUUGCGAAGGCAGGUUACUACUAAUGGAUUGACGCUGAUGGACGAAAGCGUGGGUAGCGAACAGGAUUAGAUACCCGAGUAGUC
Molecule: ribosomal RNA, 460 nt
Filed under: uncultured bacterium
Lineage: Bacteria
Description: bacterial SSU rRNA
Rfam family: Bacterial small subunit ribosomal RNA
Source: RNAcentral